CCAUAAGUGAUAUUGCAACAUCUGCAACAGCUGUCAUGUGAUGUAAAAAUAUCUGUGAUUCUGUUGGUAGCAAAGUCACAGGUCCUGCCAAUACCACUGGGGUUUGUUACCGACAUUUACAAUCAAAGGAAGUGCCAAAUUUCAGUUAGAGGUUUAUGAAAAUCAAGAUGUAUAUUUUAUCUCCAU
Molecule: non-coding RNA, 186 nt
Organism: Ceratotherium simum simum (southern white rhinoceros)
Lineage: Eukaryota; Metazoa; Chordata; Mammalia; Perissodactyla; Rhinocerotidae
Source: RefSeq, a predicted model, not a curated record